This 459-nucleotide ribosomal RNA is filed under the name uncultured bacterium. RNAcentral describes it as "partial 16S ribosomal RNA". It matches the Rfam family "Bacterial small subunit ribosomal RNA", at positions 338 to 795 of the family's 1533-position model. The record is from RNAcentral.
CCUACGGGUGGCAGCAGUGAGGAAUAUUGGUCAAUGGGCUUACGCCUGAACCAGCCAAGUCGCGUGAGGGAAGACUGCCCUAUGGGUUGUAAACCUCUUUUGUCGGGGAGCAAAAGACGCCACGCGUGGCGUUCCGAGAGUACCCGAAGAAAAAGCAUCGGCUAACUCCGGGCCAGCAGCCGCGGUAAUACGGAGGAUGCGAGCGUUAUCCGGAUUGAUUGGGUUGAAAGGGUGUGCAGGCGGAAGAUCAAGUCAGCGGUAAAAUUGAGAGGCUCAACCUCUUCGAGCCGUUGAAACUGGUUUUCUUGAGUGAGUGAGAGGUAUGCGGAAUGCGUGGUGUAGCGGUGAAAUGCAUAGAUAUCACGCAGAACUCCGAUUGCGAAGGCAGCAUACCGGCGCUCAACUGACGCUCAUGCACGAAAGUGUGGGUAUCGAACAGGAUUAGAUACCCGGGUAGUC